RNAcentral lists this transfer RNA (94 nucleotides) under Streptomyces flaveus. Its description in RNAcentral is "tRNA-Asp". Lineage: Bacteria; Bacillati; Actinomycetota; Actinomycetes; Kitasatosporales; Streptomycetaceae. The record is from RNAcentral.
CGGGGGCCUGCCGGCCGGGCGGGACGGGGCUUGUCGGGACCCGAUGCCUCCGGCGCGGCGGGGGCGGGCUUGUCGGAGCCGGGUGCCUCCGGCC